RNAcentral lists this ribosomal RNA (112 nucleotides) under Caerostris darwini. Lineage: Eukaryota; Metazoa; Arthropoda; Arachnida; Araneae; Araneidae. The record is from RNAcentral.
AACGGCCGUACCAUGCUGAAUAUACCGGUUCUCGUUAGAUCACCGAAGUCAAGCAGCAUUGGGCGCGGUCAGUACUUGGGUGGGUGACCACCUGGGAACACUGCGUGCCGUU